This 402-nucleotide unclassified non-coding RNA is filed under the name soil metagenome. RNAcentral describes it as "partial contains 5.8S ribosomal RNA, internal transcribed spacer 2, and large subunit ribosomal RNA". The stretch from base 1 to 121 matches the Rfam family "5.8S ribosomal RNA", at positions 35 to 154 of the family's 154-position model. The record is from RNAcentral.
GAUGAAGAACGUAGCGAAAUGCGAUAAGUAAUGUGAAUUGCAGAAUUCAGUGAAUCAUCGAAUCUUUGAACGCACCUUGCACCCUUUGGCUAUUCCGAAGGGUAUGCCUGUUUGAGUAUCAUGAACACCUCAACUCUUAUGGUUUGCCAUGAUGAGCUUGGACUUUGGGGGUCUUGCUGGCCUGUGGUCAGCUCCUCUCAAAUGGAUUAGCUUGCCAGUGUUUGGUGGCAUCACAGGUGUGAUAACUCUCUACGCUUGUGGUUUUCCACCAGGUAACCUUCAGCAAUGGGGGUUCGCUGGGGCUCAUAAAUGUCUCUCCUCAGUGAGGACAGCUCUUUGAACGUUUGAUCUCAAAUCAGGUAGGACUACCCGCUGAACUUAAGCAUAUCAAUAAGCGGAGGA